RNAcentral lists this ribosomal RNA (489 nucleotides) under uncultured bacterium. RNAcentral's name for it is "partial 16S ribosomal RNA". It matches the Rfam family "Bacterial small subunit ribosomal RNA", at positions 28 to 507 of the family's 1533-position model. The record is from RNAcentral.
GAUGAACGCUAGCUACAGGCUUAACACAUGCAAGUCGCAGGGUAACAUGAGGAAAGCUUGCUUUCCUUGAUGACGACUGGCGCACGGGUGAGUAACGCGUAUCCAACCUUCCCAUAACUACGGGAUAACCCGUUGAAAGACGGCCUAAUACCGUAUGAUAUCGUUUGCUGACAUCAAAUAACGAUUAAAGGUUUAGCGGUUAUGGAUGGGGAUGCGUCUGAUUAGCUUGUUGGCGGGGUAACGGCCCACAAGGCGACGAUCAGUAGGGGUUCUGAGAGGAAGGUCCCCCACAUUGGAACUGAGACACGGUCCAAACUCCUACGGGAGGCAGCAGUGAGGAAUAUUGGUCAAUGGGCGAGAGCCUGAACCAGCCAAGUAGCGUGCAGGACGACGGCCCUAUGGGUUGUAAACUGCUUUUAUGUGGGGAUAAAGUGCGUGACGUGUCAUGCAUUGCAGGUACCACAUGAAUAAGGACCGGCUAAUUCCGUG